UACAGAGGUCCCGAGCGUUGUUCGGAUUCAUUGGGCGUAAAGGGUGCGUAGGCGGUCUGCUAAGUUUGAUGUGAAAUCCCGGGGCUCAACCCUGGAAUGGCAUUGAAUACUGGCGGACUAGAGUACCGGAGAGGAAACUGGAAUUUACGGUGUGGCAGUGAAAUGCGUAGAGAUCGUAAGGAAGACCAGUGGCGAAGGCGAGUUUCUGGACGGUAACUGACGCUGAGGCACGAAGGCCAGGGGAGCAAACAGG
This 253-nucleotide ribosomal RNA is filed under the name uncultured bacterium. RNAcentral describes it as "partial 16S ribosomal RNA". It matches the Rfam family "Bacterial small subunit ribosomal RNA", at positions 524 to 776 of the family's 1533-position model. The record is from RNAcentral.